RNAcentral lists this transfer RNA (77 nucleotides) under Candidatus Altimarinota bacterium. Its description in RNAcentral is "Candidatus Gracilibacteria bacterium tRNA-Ile". It matches the Rfam family "tRNA". Rfam says of the family: Transfer RNA (tRNA) molecules are approximately 80 nucleotides in length. Their secondary structure includes four short double-helical elements and three loops (D, anti-codon, and T loops). Lineage: Bacteria; Candidatus Altimarinota. The record is from RNAcentral.
GGGCGUAUAGCUCAGCUGGUUAGAGCGCAACACUGAUAAUGUUGAGGUCGGUGGUUCAAGUCCACCUAUGCCCACCA